GUGCUCGCUUCAGCAGCACAUAUACUAAAACUGGAAUGAUACAGAGAAGAUUAGCAUAGCCCCUAAAAAACAAAAACCUGAGUUCCUAUCUCUCACUAUAUAU
Small nuclear RNA from Nycticebus coucang (slow loris), 103 nucleotides. The record is from RefSeq and is a predicted model, not a curated record. Lineage: Eukaryota; Metazoa; Chordata; Mammalia; Primates; Lorisidae.